This 514-nucleotide ribosomal RNA is filed under the name Pseudoeurycea ruficauda. Its description in RNAcentral is "partial 16S ribosomal RNA". It matches the Rfam family "Bacterial large subunit ribosomal RNA", at positions 1817 to 2597 of the family's 2925-position model. The record is from RNAcentral. Lineage: Eukaryota; Metazoa; Chordata; Amphibia; Caudata; Plethodontidae.
CGCCUUUUGAAUUAUAAACAUAAAAGGUCCUGCCUGCCCAGUGACACUUGUUUCAACGGCCGCGGUAUUAUGACCGUGCAAAGGUAGCGUAAUCACUUGUCUUUUAAAUAAAGACCAGUAUGAAUGGCAAGACGAGAGCUUAACUGUCUCCCUAAGUUGGUCAAUAAAAUUGAUUUUCCCGUGCAGAAGCGGGAAUAAUAAUAUAAGACGAGAAGACCCUGUGGAGCUUCAAACUUAAACUAACAACACAAUGCCUUAGUACCAGUUUUGGGUUGGGGCGACCGUGAGGUAAAACAUAACCCUCAAGACAAAAACUAAGAAGGACACUUCAAAUAAAUAUAAUAAUGUAAUUGACCCAAUAAUUGAUCAACGAACCAAGUUACCCCAGGGAUAACAGCGCAAUCUACUCAAAGAGCCCUUAUCGAAGAGCAGGUUUACGACCUCGAUGUUGGAUCAGGACCCCCAAAUAAUGCAACAGUUAUUAAAGGUUCGUUUGUUCAACGAUUAAAGUCCU